RNAcentral lists this ribosomal RNA (435 nucleotides) under Rhizophagus intraradices. RNAcentral describes it as "eukaryotic LSU rRNA". It matches the Rfam family "Eukaryotic large subunit ribosomal RNA", at positions 325 to 630 of the family's 3401-position model. The record is from RNAcentral. Lineage: Eukaryota; Fungi; Glomeromycota; Glomeromycetes; Glomerales; Glomeraceae.
GGCGAGAGACCGAUAGCGAACAAGUACCGUGAGGGAAAGAUGAAAAGAACUUUGAAAAGAGAGUUAAACAGUACGUGAAAUUGUUGAAAGGGAAACGAUUGAAGCCAGUCGUACCUUCGGGUAAUCAGCCUUUUGGGUGUGAUUUUGUGGAGUGUGAAGAGUUAAACGCCUUCAUGCCUGCAUAUUCGUGCACUUUGGGUGUACUUGCCCGUGUGGUUGGUUAACAUCAAUUUUGGUUAUCAUAAAAUGACUGGAGGAAUGUAGCUUCGAUCUCGUAUUGAAGUGUUAUAGCCUUCGGUAGAUGUGAUGAUCGAGAUUGAGGAUUGCAACGGAUACCCUUCGGGGCUACCUGUCUGGUCUCUGAUCGUUGCUCUGGUGCCGAAAGCUUGCUUACGGUUAUCAAAGUCGAUGGUCAAUAGGUUAGAACGGGUUAAA